UACGUAGGGGGCAAGCGUUGUCCGGAAUCAUUGGGCGUAAAGCGCGUGUAGGCGGUUCGGUAAGUCUGCUGUGAAAGUCCAGGGCUCAACCCUGGGAUGCCGGUGGAUACUGUCGGACUAGAGUACGGAAGAGGCGAGUGGAAUUCCCGGUGUAGCGGUGAAAUGCGCAGAUAUCGGGAGGAACACCAGUGGCGAAGGCGACUACCUGGCCUGUUCUUGACGCUGAGGCGCGAAAGCUAGGGGAGCAAACGGG
RNAcentral lists this ribosomal RNA (253 nucleotides) under uncultured bacterium. RNAcentral describes it as "partial 16S ribosomal RNA". It matches the Rfam family "Bacterial small subunit ribosomal RNA", at positions 524 to 776 of the family's 1533-position model. The record is from RNAcentral.